Molecule: RNase P RNA, 361 nt
Filed under: Spirochaetales bacterium
Lineage: Bacteria; Pseudomonadati; Spirochaetota; Spirochaetia; Spirochaetales
Description: RNase P RNA component class A
Rfam family: Bacterial RNase P class A
About the family: Ribonuclease P (RNase P) is a ubiquitous endoribonuclease, found in archaea, bacteria and eukarya as well as chloroplasts and mitochondria. Its best characterised activity is the generation of mature 5'-ends of tRNAs by cleaving the 5'-leader elements of precursor-tRNAs.
Source: RNAcentral
CAGGUGGGCCGGAUCAUCGCUUUGACUGUAAGGUUAAAGAGGAAAGUCCGGGCUCCGCAGGGCGUGACGCCGGGUAACCCCCGGGCGCUGUAAGGCGACAGAAAGGGCCACAGAAAAUAACCGCCGGUUGGCUUGCUAACCGGUAAGGGUGAAAAGGUGAGGUAAGAGCUCACCGCUCUUCAGGCAACUGAAGGGGCAAAGGUAAACCUCGUCAGGAGCAAAAUCAAGCAGUAAUGGGGCGGCUCGUCCAUAACAUUACGGGUAGAUUGCGUCAGGGCUUUCGCAAGAAAGACCGUAGAUAGAUGAUGAUCUCUGCGGUGUAACCGUAGAACAGAACCCGGCUUAUAGGCCUGCCUGUUUU